AUUGAACGCUGGCGGCAGGCCUAACACAUGCAAGUCGAACGGUAACAGGAAGAAGCUUGCUUAUUUGCUGACGAGUGGCGGACGGGGGAGUAAUGUCUGGGAAACUGCCUGAUGGAGGGGGAUAACUACUGGAAACGGUCGCUAAUACAGCAUAACGUCGCAAGACCAAAGAGGGGGACAUUCUGGCCUCUUGCCCUCGGAUGUGCCCAGAUGGGAUUAGCUAGUAGGUGGGGUAACGGCUCACCUAGGCGACGAUCCCUAGCUGGUCUGAGAGGAUGACCAGCCACACUGGAACUGAGACACGGUCCAGACUCCUACGGGAGGCAGCAGUGGGGAAUAUUGCACAAUGGGCGCAAGCCUGAUGCAGCCAUGCCGCGUGUAUGAAGAAGGCCUUCGGGUUGUAAAGUGCUUUUAGCGGGGAGGAAGGGAUUAAAGUUAAUACCUUGCCUUAUUGACGUUACCCGCAGAAGAAGCACCGGCUAACUCCGUG
RNAcentral lists this ribosomal RNA (490 nucleotides) under uncultured bacterium. RNAcentral's name for it is "partial 16S ribosomal RNA". It matches the Rfam family "Bacterial small subunit ribosomal RNA", at positions 30 to 507 of the family's 1533-position model. The record is from RNAcentral.